RNAcentral lists this ribosomal RNA (548 nucleotides) under Cladosporium rectoides. Its description in RNAcentral is "partial large subunit ribosomal RNA". It matches the Rfam family "Eukaryotic large subunit ribosomal RNA", at positions 86 to 655 of the family's 3401-position model. The record is from RNAcentral. Lineage: Eukaryota; Fungi; Ascomycota; Dothideomycetes; Cladosporiales; Cladosporiaceae.
ACGGCGAGUGAAGCAGCAAUAGCUCAAAUUUGAAAUCUGGCGUCUUCGACGUCCGAGUUGUAAUUUGUAGAGGAUGCUUCUGAGUAACCACCGACCUAAGUUCCUUGGAACAGGACGUCAUAGAGGGUGAGAAUCCCGUAUGCGGUCGGAAAGGUGCUCUAUACGUAGCUCCUUCGACGAGUCGAGUUGUUUGGGAAUGCAGCUCUAAAUGGGAGGUAAAUUUCUUCUAAAGCUAAAUAUUGGCCAGAGACCGAUAGCGCACAAGUAGAGUGAUCGAAAGAUGAAAAGCACUUUGGAAAGAGAGUUAAAAAGCACGUGAAAUUGUUAAAAGGGAAGGGAUUGCAACCAGACUUGCUCGCGGUGUUCCGCCGGUCUUCUGACCGGUCUACUCGCCGCGUUGCAGGCCAGCAUCGUCUGGUGCCGCUGGAUAAGACUUGAGGAAUGUAGCUCCCUCGGGAGUGUUAUAGCCUCUUGUGAUGCAGCGAGCGCCGGGCGAGGUCCGCGCUUCGGCUAGGAUGCUGGCGUAAUGGUCGUAAUCCGCCCGUCUU